Molecule: long non-coding RNA, 781 nt
Filed under: Rattus norvegicus (Norway rat)
Lineage: Eukaryota; Metazoa; Chordata; Mammalia; Rodentia; Muridae
Description: long non-coding RNA NONRATT012904
Source: RNAcentral
AUCUUUUCUGAAUGCCUGAAUCUCCAGCCCCUUACCUGGGAGUGGCCCCCAGGGACCUGUCUACUUGGGUGCUGGAGUACCACCCUGAAGUCCUGGCCUGGGAGAACUCGAGCACAAAGAAGCCAUCGCCUGACCAGAGCUGUAUAGAAACACCCUCAGGUUGGGUGAGUCAGGAAAGCAUUUCUGUGACCUCUGUGAAGACUUCUAGCAAAGGAUGGAUCCCAAAAGGAUUGUGAGAGCCUUGGAUUUGCAGCCAAAUCAGACAGAGGGCAUUUUAAAGUGGAAACUCUGUUCACAGUUCAUGGGCCAUGUAAAGGCAGGUGCACACCAGCUCGCCCUAGAGGUCACAGUCUGCUGGCUCCAUAUUAGAGCAAAGCAUACCAGACGUUUCUGUGAUACUGAGAAGUGAGAGAGGGCCUUGGCCAGAGCCCACUCCCUUAGACAGCACGAGGACUGGCCGGGGGACCUUUCCUCUGCCCAGCGCCUGGGCUGAUGUCGCUGGUGAGCCUCGGAAAGGAGCUUCCUCCUCCCCCGAGGACUACUUAACUGGCAGGUGGAAUGAAAGGAGUUUUGUCUGAGAUGUGUACUGUAAAAUCCAGCUCACGUGGGAAGAUCGUCGCGAAUAAAGAGCUCCUGCUUGCAUCUUGAAAUGAAAGGGGGAACGUUCUCACCCUAUCACCGGAUAAACAUGCACUUAACAGUUUCAGUCAUUGUCCUCGAGAGUGCUUAUGUAUGCUAGCUAGCUAGGUACUAGAGAGAGUUUAUCCCUUUAAACAGGAAC